RNAcentral lists this long non-coding RNA (688 nucleotides) under Cicer arietinum (chickpea). Its description in RNAcentral is "long non-coding RNA (CARI_LNC002540)". Lineage: Eukaryota; Viridiplantae; Streptophyta; Magnoliopsida; Fabales; Fabaceae. The record is from RNAcentral.
AUUACCCUCUUUUCUUCUUAUUCUCUCUAGAUUAAGAAACUUAAAACUAUGAGUUCUAAAUUUUAGAUAAAAUGCUAAACUUGCUAAGUAGGGGGUGUUUAUAAAUGCAACAAGAAAAUUAAUUUAUGUUGUUUUCAUUAAAAAAAAAGACACAUAUAUUGUUAGUACAAAUGUUCAAUCUAUAAAAACAAACAAAAAAAAGGUACAAACUUGUUCAAAAUUAAUUAACUAAUUCAUACAGGUUAAUUAAGAAAAGCAUAAUCUAUAUAAUCAAACUAAUGUCAUACUCCAACAAUGUAAAGCAAAACUUGAAGAAGCGAGGUCGAAAUUAAUUAAGCCGAUAAAAAAAUAAAAAGAUGAUUCUUAUCGGUGAAGAAAACAUUGGUGUCUUGGUCUAGUUGAUGAUGAUGAGUGAAGGAAGUGUCUUUGUUGUCAUUAAUCCUCUCAUUGCUGCUAAUUAAAUUCCAAUGUGAAUGUGACCCUUUUGUGGAAGAAGCAAGUUUUUUCUCAAGCCUUCGCUUUCUAACAUAAUCUUCCGGAAUGAACACAUCCAUCUUAUCUUACUUCUAAGAUAAAGGUGUGAAACUAAAUGUAAUAUUAUUAGUAAAGAUGUGGAACAUGAUGUUUAUAUGCCUAUGUUACUAUGUACGAGACUAUUAAUUAAUGAGACAAGAUAGUGGAAUACCAG